AUUGAACGCUGGCGGAAUGCUUUACACAUGCAAGUCGAACGGCAGCACGGACUUCGGUCUGGUGGCGAGUGGCGAACGGGUGAGUAAUGUAUCGGAACGUGCCCAGUCGCGGGGGAUAACGUAGUGAAAAUUACGCUAAUACCGCAUACGAUCUAUGGAGGAAAGCGGGGGAUCUCAAGACCUCGCGCGAUUGGAUCUGCCGUUGACAGAUUAUGUAGUUGGUGGGGUAAAGGCCCACCCAGCAAACGAUCUGUAGCUGGUCUGAGAGGACGACCAGCCACACUGGAACUGAGACACGGUCCAGACUCCUACGGGAGGCAGCAGUGGGGAAUUUUGGACAAUGGGCGAAAGCCUGAUCCAGCCAUUCCGCGUGCAGGAUGAAGGCCCUCGGGUUGUAAACUGCUUUUGUACAGAACGAAAAGGUUUCUACUAAUACUAGGAGCUCAUGACGGUACUGUAAGAAUAAGCACCGGCUAACUACGUGCCAGCCGCCGCGGUAA
This 500-nucleotide ribosomal RNA is filed under the name uncultured bacterium. RNAcentral describes it as "partial 16S ribosomal RNA". It matches the Rfam family "Bacterial small subunit ribosomal RNA", at positions 30 to 523 of the family's 1533-position model. The record is from RNAcentral.